Molecule: ribosomal RNA, 468 nt
Filed under: uncultured bacterium
Lineage: Bacteria
Description: partial 16S ribosomal RNA
Rfam family: Bacterial small subunit ribosomal RNA
Source: RNAcentral
GACGAACGCUGGCGGCGUGCUUAACACAUGCAAGUCGAACGGAAAGGCCCUGCUUUUGUGGGGUGCCCAAGUGGCGAACGGGUGAGUAACACGUGAGUAACCUGCCCUUGACUUUGGGAUAACUUCAGGAAACUGGGGCUAAUACCGGAUAGGAGCUCCUGCUGCAUGGUGGGGGUUGGAAAGUUUCGGCGGUUGGGGAUGGACUCGCGGCUUAUCAGCUUGUUGGUGGGGUAGUGGCUUACCAAGGCUUUGACGGGUAGCCGGCCUGAGAGGGUGACCGGCCACAUUGGGACUGAGAUACGGCCCAGACUCCUACGGGAGGCAGCAGUGGGGAAUAUUGCACAAUGGGCGGAAGCCUGAUGCAGCAACGCCGCGUGCGGGAUGACGGCCUUCGGGUUGUAAACCGCUUUCGCCUGUGACGAAGCGUGAGUGACGGUAAUGGGUAAAGAAGCACCGGCUAACCACGUG